GGUACACGCUGUGACUAGCAUAUCAAUAAGCGGAGGAAAAGAAACUAACAAGGAUUCCCCUAGUAACGGCGAGUGAAGCGGGAAGAGCUCAAAUUUGAAAUCUUAAAGGUUUUACCUUGACGAAUUGUAGUUUAAAGAAGUGUUUUCUGUUGAAGUUUUGGUAAAAGUUCUUUGGAAUAGGACAUCAUAGAGGGUGAGAAUCCCGUAUUUGACCUUUACUUUCAACUUUGUGAUACACUUUCAAAGAGUCGGAUUGUUUGGGAAUGCAGUCCAAAAUGGGUGGUAAAUUUCAUCUAAAGCUAAAUAUUGGCGAGAGACCGAUAGCGAACAAGUACCGUGAGGGAAAGAUGAAAAGAACUUUGAAAAGAGAGUUAAACAGUACGUGAAAUUGUCAAAAGGGAAGCGUUUGACACCAGUGUUGUUUUUCUGAAAAUCAAUUAAAGAACUGUUUAUGCUAAGUUGUUUAGACUUUAUCAGCUAACUGUUUAGUUUUGAGCUUUUCUUUAAUGCACUUUUCAGGUUAACAAGUCAACAUCAAUUUCUUUUGCUGUAAAAAAGCUUGAGGAAGGUGGCUUGAGAUUCGUCUUAAGUGUUUAUAGCCUCUUGCCUAUGCAGUCGGAGAGAUUGAGGUCUGCAGCGUAGAUCCUUCGGGGCUAAAUGCAUUUGUGCUAAGUUAUAGCAUUUUAUAGACAACUUGUUGACUAUGAUUUGUCUUGUAGCUUACUCGCUUAUGUUAUUUUACCUACGCUUAGGAUGUUGAAGUCAUCGUAUCGCGC
RNAcentral lists this ribosomal RNA (776 nucleotides) under uncultured Neocallimastigales. RNAcentral describes it as "partial large subunit ribosomal RNA". It matches the Rfam family "Eukaryotic large subunit ribosomal RNA", at positions 22 to 645 of the family's 3401-position model. Lineage: Eukaryota; Fungi; Neocallimastigomycota; Neocallimastigomycetes; Neocallimastigales. The record is from RNAcentral.